UACGGGGGGGGGCAAGCGUUGUUCGGAAUUACUGGGCGUAAAGGGCGCGUAGGCGGUCUGCUAAGUUGGAUGUGAAAACUCUGGGCUUAACCCAGAGCCUGCAUUCAAUACUGACAGGCUAGAGUUCUGGAGGGGAUAGCGGAAUUCCUGGUGUAGCGGUGAGAUGCGUAGAUAUCAGGAGGAACACCGGUGGCGAAGGCGGGUCUCUAGGCCGACACUGACGCUGAGGAGCGAAAGCGUGGGGAGCGAACAGG
RNAcentral lists this ribosomal RNA (254 nucleotides) under uncultured bacterium. RNAcentral's name for it is "partial 16S ribosomal RNA". It matches the Rfam family "Bacterial small subunit ribosomal RNA", at positions 524 to 776 of the family's 1533-position model. The record is from RNAcentral.